Molecule: long non-coding RNA, 860 nt
Organism: Aquila chrysaetos chrysaetos
Lineage: Eukaryota; Metazoa; Chordata; Aves; Accipitriformes; Accipitridae
Exons: 3
Source: RefSeq, a predicted model, not a curated record
UCAUUUCCAUCUCUUCCGCAAGUGCAGUAUGCUGGCACGGAGCAGCCUUUCCCUUGGACGCUGGCAACUCGUGCCCCUGAGGCUGUGAAGCGUGGGUGUGGAGAGCGGUAACAGGAGUAGCUGGUCGUUGGUCCUGGAUACUCUGGAAGCCUGUAGCUGUGAGGGCUGCUGGCAAAGGAGAUGCUGGGAGGACCGUUCUGGUGCUGUUGAGACAAGAACUGAACAGAUUCGAAGUCUGGAGCGUGCAGAUGCACCAAUGCUGAGAAGUCUCUGCCUGUGUGUUUCUGAAGCAGUUUUUGUGGGACUAUAAAAUCCCAGUGCCCUGUGCUGCUGUCUCCCGGAGCUAUCUCCAAAUGGGUGGUAGCUGUCAUGUGAGCUGACAGCGCCCGCAGUUGAGAAGUAUGAUUAAGUGCUCUAAACUGCUCUGCUGAGUGAUCUGGAUCGCGUUGCUGAAGCCUUUGCCAGCUCCUGACAACCAGCAGCAGUUGUUGUGGGAGUGGAUUUGCUGGUAGUCCCAAAGGGUGCUUGUGGAGAGGUGAGGAGCUGAGCAGAGACAGGUAGUGUUUCAGGGGAGGGAGAGCAGUACAGCCCUCUGCUCCUCAGAAACAGUGUUUUGGAGACGGUUUUAUUUAUGCAAGAGUGCCCGUCAGAUCAGAUAUCCAGAACUCAGCUGAAUAGGGCAGCCAGCAACCUGAUCUAACUGUGAAGGUGGCCAGGGGGUUGGAUUAUUGACCUCCAGAGGUCCCUGCCAACAUCACUUAUCUUAGUGCUCCAUGGUGUGAGUACCAGGACUGACUGACAGCCCUGACCAUCACCUGGCAGUAAGAGUUGACAGGGUAAAAAGCUACUGUACCAUUUCA